RNAcentral lists this ribosomal RNA (440 nucleotides) under uncultured bacterium. RNAcentral's name for it is "partial 16S ribosomal RNA". It matches the Rfam family "Bacterial small subunit ribosomal RNA", at positions 338 to 795 of the family's 1533-position model. The record is from RNAcentral.
CCUACGGGAGGCAGCAGUAGGGAAUAUUGCUCAAUGGGGGAAACCCUGAUGCAGCAACGCCGCGUGGCGGAUGAAGGUUUUCGGCUCGUAAACUCCUUUUGUUAGAGACGAUAAUGACGGUAUCUAACGAAUAAGCACCGGCUAACUACGUGCCAGCAGCCGCGGUAAUACGGAGGGUGCAAGCGUUACCCGGAAUCACUGGGCGUAAAGAGCGCGUAGGCGGGAUAGCAAGUCAGAUGUGAAAUCCUAUGGCGUAACCAUAGAACUGCAUUUGAAACUGUUAUUCUAGAGUAUGGGAGAGGUAGGUGGAAUUCUUGGGGUAGGGGUAAAAUCCGUAGAGAUCAAGAGGAAGACUCAUUGCGAAGGCGACCUGCUAGAACAUAACUGACGUUGAUGCGCGAAAGCGUGGGGAGCAAACAGGAUUAGAUACCCGUGUAGUC